This 264-nucleotide ribosomal RNA is filed under the name uncultured bacterium. RNAcentral's name for it is "partial 16S ribosomal RNA". It matches the Rfam family "Bacterial small subunit ribosomal RNA", at positions 793 to 1055 of the family's 1533-position model. The record is from RNAcentral.
GUCCACGCCGUAAACUAUGAAUGCUAGUUGUUAGGAAGUUUACUUCUUAGUGACGCAGCUAACGCGUUAAGCAUUCCGCCUGGGGAGUACGGUCGCAAGAUUAAACUCAAAGGAAUUGACGGGGCCCGCACAAGCGGUGGAGCAUGUGGUUUAAUUCGAAGCAACGCGAAGAACCUUACCGGCCCUUGACAUGGGUGUCGCGAGUCCCAGAGACGGGACUCUUCAGUUCGGCUGGACACCACACAGGUGCUGCAUGGCUGUCGU